UACGUAGGGUGCGAGCGUUAAUCGGAAUUACUGGGCGUAAAGCGUGCGCAGGCGGUUCGUUGUGUCUGAUGUGAAAGCCCCGGGCUCAACCUGGGAAUGGCACUGGAAACUGGCGAGCUAGAGUGUGGCAGAGGGGGGUGGAAUUCCGCGUGUAGCAGUGAAAUGCGUAGAUAUGCGGAGGAACACCGAUGGCGAAGGCAAUCCCCUGGACCUGUACUGACGCUCAUGCACGAAAGCGUGGUGAGCAAACAGG
This 253-nucleotide ribosomal RNA is filed under the name uncultured bacterium. Its description in RNAcentral is "partial 16S ribosomal RNA". It matches the Rfam family "Bacterial small subunit ribosomal RNA", at positions 524 to 776 of the family's 1533-position model. The record is from RNAcentral.